Long non-coding RNA from Colias croceus (clouded yellow), 555 nucleotides. RefSeq lists it as uncharacterized. The record is from RefSeq and is a predicted model, not a curated record. The transcript has 3 exons. NCBI's taxonomy places the organism in Eukaryota, Metazoa, Arthropoda, Insecta, Lepidoptera, Pieridae.
CCAUUUUAUGUUCUCGUUAUUACGAUGUACAUGCUCUGUCAUUGCUCCGUAGUAAACAUUGAAAAAUAUUGAAUAUUUUUGUGAUUGUGACAAACAUUUGUGUCUAAAACAUAUAGAGUGGUCAAGGACAAAUAGUGGCAUAAUGCCAAAGCGCAGUAUUGUGGGAUGUGGCUCCGGAAAGAAUGAAAACCAGAAAAGUUUGUCUUUGCACCGGUUACCAAGAAGUGAAAAUAGAAAAGGAAAAUGGUUAGAAGCAAUUGAAACUGAAAAUAUCAAGCCAAAUGUAAAGGAUAUAUCAUAGUAUGUUCCCUACAUUUCCCCGAAAGUGCUUUCAAUAGAACAAUGGAUGUGAUUAGUCUGCACGAUGAUGCUAUACCAGUAUGUUUGCCGCUGCAUUCACACAGGGUACCGGUUGAGCCUCAAAUCCCGAACUCAAAAAUGAACAGAGUGAAUCCGAGUGCAUCACAGGCUGCACGAAAUAGUUUAGUUCUAUAAUUUUCUCUGUUAUUAAGUAAUUAUUGUUUUUUUUUUUCUAUUACCUACUGUAUAUUGUGU